This 666-nucleotide ribosomal RNA is filed under the name Trebouxia sp. 1 LM-2014. RNAcentral describes it as "eukaryotic LSU rRNA". The stretch from base 207 to 360 matches the Rfam family "5.8S ribosomal RNA". The record is from RNAcentral. Lineage: Eukaryota; Viridiplantae; Chlorophyta; Trebouxiophyceae; Trebouxiales; Trebouxiaceae.
UCCUUUUGGUGUCAGUUGACUUGAUUGGGCGGGUCCAAUAUCAGCCGGAUUCCCCUUGAGAGACUUUGUGGAGGCCUGACGGUCUCACCCAAUGGCUUGGGGUUCUGCCGGCUGUGAGGGGUGGCGGUUAACUCACUUUAAGCAAUCAAUUCUGAAGACAGCUCUAUUGGCUAGCAUUGCUGGCUGUAGACUGAACAAAUACAGACAACUCUCAACAACGGAUAUCUUGGCUCCCGUAACGAUGAAGAACGCAGCGAAAUGCGAUACGUAGUGUGAAUUGCAGAAUUCCGUGAACCAUCGAAUCUUUGAACGCAAAUUGCGCUCGAGGCUUCGGCCAAGAGCAUGUCUGCCUCAGCGUCGGCUACUACCCUCAACUAAGUUUCCUAUGAAAGACUAGGGGAUGCCAGUUGGAUAUGGCAGUCCGGUUUGCCUUUCAGGUUGCCGGUCAGCUGAAAUAUAUUCACGCUCUGGGGGCUGCUUUCCUUGAAAGGCUACUUUCAAGGGGAGGCGAGUUCCGAUUUGGUAGGUGACCUUUGCCGGUUACAUGCCUUCGUUGCUCGCUAAGCUUCCCAAUAGUCGUUGUGCAGGACGCCUUUUGGCUUUCGACCUGAGGUCAGGCAAGAACACCCGCUGAACUUAAGCAUAUCAAUAAGCGGAGGAAAAGAA